RNAcentral lists this transfer-messenger RNA (386 nucleotides) under Helicobacter pylori. Its description in RNAcentral is "Standard tmRNA". It matches the Rfam family "transfer-messenger RNA". Rfam says of the family: Bacterial tmRNA, also known as 10Sa RNA or SsrA, is named for its dual tRNA and mRNA-like properties. Its role is to liberate the mRNA from a stalled ribosome. The record is from RNAcentral. Lineage: Bacteria; Pseudomonadati; Campylobacterota; Epsilonproteobacteria; Campylobacterales; Helicobacteraceae.
GGGGCUGACUUGGAUUUCGACAGAUUUCUUGUCGCACAGAUAGCAUGCCAAGUGCUACUUGUAAAACAGCAACAAAAAUAACUGUAAACAACACAGAUUACGCUCCAGCUUACGCUAAAGCUGCGUGAGUUAAUCUCCUUUUGGAGCUGGACUGAUUAGAAUUUCUAGCGUUUUAAUCACUCCAUAACCUUAAGCUAGACGCUUUUAAAAGGUGGUUCGCCUUUUAAACUAAGAAACAAGAACUCUUGAAACUACCUCAAGGUUUUAGAAAGUUGGACCAGAGCUAGUUUUAAGGCUAAAAAACUAACCAAUUUUCUAAGCAUUGUAGAAGUUUGUGUUUAGGGCAAGAUUUUUGGACUGGGGUUCGAUUCCCCACAGCUCCACCA